GAUUCCAUGCAGCACAGCGCGCCCCGCGCUAUGUUGUCAGAAACAUUCAAAUUCCUUGAAAUCUUCAUCCAAUUGCCACAUUUUGAUUAAGCAGAUGUAUUAUCCUGCAACAAGCAAACAACCUAUCAAAAGUAACAUGAAAUUACCAAAAACUAACAAUAUAUCAAGCUAAACGAACCUAAAUCGUAGGUUAUACACCUACUCAUCAGGGACCUACGUUGUAACCCCCGUCGGGGACCUACGUUGUAUCCCCCGUCGAGGACCUAUUUAGG
RNAcentral lists this long non-coding RNA (272 nucleotides) under Panax ginseng (ginseng). Its description in RNAcentral is "long non-coding RNA (PGIN_LNC005897)". The record is from RNAcentral. Lineage: Eukaryota; Viridiplantae; Streptophyta; Magnoliopsida; Apiales; Araliaceae.